Molecule: long non-coding RNA, 724 nt
Organism: Oncorhynchus nerka (sockeye salmon)
Lineage: Eukaryota; Metazoa; Chordata; Actinopteri; Salmoniformes; Salmonidae
Exons: 6
Source: RefSeq, a predicted model, not a curated record
UUACAUUGUCUAAUACACUCAGUGAUAAAGGUAUGGGAUUCUGGGUAAUCCACAGCAGAUCUAUGGAGAAUUGCUGUGUGGAUGAGUUGAAAAUUGAUUGGUCCCGGGAUAGAAAUGUGAGUGCUAUUUAUAUCCGGUCGACUACUCAUCAUUCAUCCAUACUGUGUCCCCCCCCCAUGACUGCAGGUCACUGAUACUCCACUUGAUGUGGAAAUUGUCGAACCAGAUCAGAACGCCUUCGAAGACCACCUUCAGGCACGGACUGAGGUUUUUGACCAGGUGAGACUUGAACCUGGACAGGGCACAUGAGAAGGAAAGCCACCUGAGAAGAAUCAAGGGGACCAAGUGCUUCGACAUCUGGGUGAAUGACUUGGGUUGGAAGAAGGACGAAAGGAAGGCGAGACCUGGGAAAGCUUGGUGCUUUUUCGCUCCUAGCUGGGGUCAACAUCCGUUAAGGGACCAUCCCUUAUAACCCCACUAACAUCAAAUAUUAGACAGGAUCCAAGGAUUCUGCCUAACACCCAGACAUGGAUCCACCUGAUGUUCUCCAUUAUCAACCACCCUCCAACUUUUCAUUACAUGAAAAAUGUAAAGAAGAAAUUCAAAGACAACUCAGUAAUGAACGUUUCUAUAGAAAACUGAGUGUUGAUCCCACACAGGUGUUCCAAAAGGAUAUAUGCUCUAAUCUGGAGCCCUAUUAAACCACCUCAUCUCAAAACCUGAA